GAUGAACGCUGGCGGCGUGCUUAACACAUGCAAGUCGAACGGUGAAGGCGGAGCUUGCUCUGCUGGAUCAGUGGCGAACGGGUGAGUAACACGUGAGCAAUCUGCCCCUGACUCUGGGAUAAGCGCUGGAAACGGCGUCUAAUACUGGAUACGAGCUGCGAAGGCAUCUUCAGCAGCUGGAAAGAAUUUCGGUCAGGGAUGAGCUCGCGGCCUAUCAGCUUGUUGGUGAGGUAAUGGCUCACCAAGGCGUCGACGGGUAGCCGGCCUGAGAGGGUGACCGGCCACAAGGGGACUGAGAGACGGCCCAGACUCCUACGGGAGGCAGCAGUGGGGAAUAUUGCACAAUGGGCGAAAGCCUGAUGCAGAAACGCCGCGUGAGGGACGACGGCCUUCGGGUUGUAAACCUCUUUUAGCAGGGAAGAAGCGAAAGUGACGGUACCUGAAGAAAAAGCGCCGGCUAACUACGUG
RNAcentral lists this ribosomal RNA (468 nucleotides) under uncultured bacterium. RNAcentral describes it as "partial 16S ribosomal RNA". It matches the Rfam family "Bacterial small subunit ribosomal RNA", at positions 28 to 507 of the family's 1533-position model. The record is from RNAcentral.